RNAcentral lists this ribosomal RNA (253 nucleotides) under uncultured bacterium. RNAcentral describes it as "partial 16S ribosomal RNA". It matches the Rfam family "Bacterial small subunit ribosomal RNA", at positions 524 to 776 of the family's 1533-position model. The record is from RNAcentral.
UACGGAGGUGGCAAGCGUUGCUCGGAGUCACUGGGCGUAAAGGGCGCGUAGGCGGGGAGGUAAGUCGGGUGUGAAAUCCCUCGGCCCAACCGAGGAACUGCCGUCCAAACUGCUUUGCUUGAGACCGGGAGAGGUGAGUGGAAUUCCCAGUGUAGCGGUGAAAUGCGUAGAUAUUGGGAGGAACACCAGUGGCGAAGGCGGCUCACUGGACCGGUACUGACGCUGAUGCGCGAAAGCGUGGGGAGCAAACGGG